CUCAUUUGGACGACACCAAUUUUGACACCACAGUAGUGGCAAUGGAAAGUAAUGCAGAUACUCUUGAAGAUAUAACAGAUAAUAAGCAGGGCACGAACGAAGUAUGGAGGAUCUGUUUGAAAAUUCCAGACAUGAGAAAGAAAAUGACAGGGAGAGAUGUCCAGUUCAACGUUACCAGGACAAUUCAGCAAAGUUCCAACAGAUAUAAAAAAACUGAACUUGAGGCAAAUAUAUACUGUUAUGUAUAUAUAUAAGAUGGAUAAAGGACAUGAUACUUUAGCAGUGCUUCAGAGAAUCACAUUUGGCUACAGAAGUUUGUAGUAUUUUGGUUGUAAUCAAGUUAUUAAGCUGAAGCUUCAUAGUAAAACAGAUCUAGGCUACACCUUCACUAUUCAAGUCAGACUUUAAAAGGAAGCCUUUUUUGUUGAUAGCUGAACAUAUGAAGAAACUUUCAAAAGAGUGGAGCAUUUAGAAGACGGAACAAUCAUAUAUUAUUUGUUACUAUUUCAGUAACUUUUCAAAUGUUAACUGUUUAGAAUAUUCUUAAAUAUAAAUAUAAUUGAAUUUAA
This is a long non-coding RNA of Mytilus californianus (California mussel), 569 nucleotides long. RefSeq lists it as uncharacterized. NCBI's taxonomy places the organism in Eukaryota, Metazoa, Mollusca, Bivalvia, Mytilida, Mytilidae. The record is from RefSeq and is a predicted model, not a curated record. The transcript has 5 exons.